AGUGAACGCUGGCGGUAGGCCUAACACAUGCAAGUCGAACGGCAGCACAGUAAGAGCUUGCUCUUACGGGUGGCGAGUGGCGGACGGGUGAGGAAUACAUCGGAAUCUACUUUUUCGUGGGGGAUCACGUAGGGAAACUUACGCUAAUACCGCAUACGACCUACGGGUGAAAGCAGGGGAUCUUCGGACCUUGCGCGAUUGAAUGAGCCGAUGUCGGAUUAGCUAGUUGGCGGGGUAAAGGCCCACCAAGGCGACGAUCCGUAGCUGGUCUGAGAGGAUGAUCAGCCACACUGGAACUGAGACACGGUCCAGACUCCUACGGGAGGCAGCAGUGGGGAAUAUUGGACAAUGGGCGCAAGCCUGAUCCAGCCAUACCGCGUGGGUGAAGAAGGCCUUCGGGUUGUAAAGCCCUUUUGUUGGGAAAGAAAAGCAGCAGGUUAAUACCCCGCUGUUCUGACGGUACCCAAAGAAGAAGCACCGGCUAACUUCGUG
RNAcentral lists this ribosomal RNA (492 nucleotides) under uncultured bacterium. RNAcentral's name for it is "partial 16S ribosomal RNA". It matches the Rfam family "Bacterial small subunit ribosomal RNA", at positions 29 to 507 of the family's 1533-position model. The record is from RNAcentral.